UCGUAUCAGCGGUCGGAGGUCGUGGGAAGACGGUGGUGGCAAGGGUUAAGCGGAAGUACUUGGCGUUAAGGAGGCGGAGGCGUGUGAUUAAGUCUGAUGUGAAAUCCCUAGGGUCAACCUAGGAACUUCAUUUGAAGCGAAUAAACGAGAGGAGCGUAGAGGGAGGUAGAAGUCCAGGUGUAGCGGUGAAAUGCGUAGAUAUCUGGAGGAAGACCAGUGGCGAAGGCGACCGCCUGGACGAAAACUGACGCUCAAGCACGAAAGCAUGGGGAGCAAACAUGAUUAGAUACCCUGGUAGUC
RNAcentral lists this ribosomal RNA (300 nucleotides) under uncultured Lactobacillus sp. Its description in RNAcentral is "bacterial SSU rRNA". It matches the Rfam family "Bacterial small subunit ribosomal RNA", at positions 503 to 795 of the family's 1533-position model. Lineage: Bacteria; Bacillati; Bacillota; Bacilli; Lactobacillales; Lactobacillaceae. The record is from RNAcentral.